UACAUGUGGGGCAAGCGUUGUUCGGAAUCACUGGGCGUAAAGGGCGCGUAGGCGGCCCUCCUUGUCGCGUGUGAAAGCCCCGGGCUCAACCUGGGAACGGCGCGCGAGACGGGGGGGCUGGAGUUCGGGAGAGGAGCGUGGAAUUCCCAGUGUAGAGGUGAAAUUCGUAGAUAUUGGGAAGAACACCGGUGGCGAAGGCGGCGCUCUGGACCGAGACUGACGCUGAGGCGCGAAAGCGUGGGGAGCAAACAGG
This 253-nucleotide ribosomal RNA is filed under the name uncultured bacterium. RNAcentral's name for it is "partial 16S ribosomal RNA". It matches the Rfam family "Bacterial small subunit ribosomal RNA", at positions 524 to 776 of the family's 1533-position model. The record is from RNAcentral.